This 252-nucleotide unclassified non-coding RNA is filed under the name uncultured Pseudomonadaceae bacterium. RNAcentral's name for it is "contains 16S-23S intergenic spacer region". It matches the Rfam family "Bacterial small subunit ribosomal RNA", at positions 524 to 776 of the family's 1533-position model. The record is from RNAcentral. Lineage: Bacteria; Pseudomonadati; Pseudomonadota; Gammaproteobacteria; Pseudomonadales; Pseudomonadaceae.
UACAGAGGGUGCAAGCGUUAAUCGGAAUAACUGGGCGUAAAGCGCGCGUAGGUGGUUUGUUAAGUUGGAUGUGAAAGCCCCGGGCCCAACCUGGGAACUGCAUCCAAAACUGGUAAGCUAGAGUACGGUAGAGGGUGGUGGAAUUUCCUGUGUAGCGGUGAAAUGCGUAGAUAUAGGAAGGAACACCAGUGGCGAGGCGACCACCUGGACUGAUACUGACACUGAGGCGCGAAAGCGUAGGUAGCGAACAGG